GCCCGGCCAGACACCCAGCGGGAAGGCCCAGGCUGGGGGGCACACAGACCCCAGGCGCUGCAUGAUGCUCUGGCUGGGAAGGGGACGGAAGGGAAGUCGAUUUCUAUGGAGUCAGGGUUGCGGGUGCCUCAGUUGGGACCAUCUGUUGAAACAGGCUCAGAGAGUAACCAAUAGGAACAAUCAACUCUACAAAAUAGUUUCAAGACCAUACUUAAAGGAGCAUGUCAGACAUCCCCGUCUUCCUGUGUGUGUUGCAAGUUCCUCGAGGCCAUACCUUAUAUCCUAUUGAGCAGGACCACGACUGUAAUUAAAAAAAAAAAAAAAAAGCACAAUGAUUCUGUGAUAAAC
Molecule: long non-coding RNA, 348 nt
Filed under: Cricetulus griseus (Chinese hamster)
Lineage: Eukaryota; Metazoa; Chordata; Mammalia; Rodentia; Cricetidae
Description: lncRNA (ENSCGRG00000024166.1)
Source: RNAcentral